This 1509-nucleotide ribosomal RNA is filed under the name metagenome. RNAcentral's name for it is "bacterial SSU rRNA". It matches the Rfam family "Bacterial small subunit ribosomal RNA". The record is from RNAcentral.
AGAAUUUGAUCUUGGUUCAGAUUGAAUGCUGACGGCGUGGAUGAGGCAUGCAAGUCGAACGGGAUAUCAAGCUUGCUUGAUAUCUAGUGGCGGAAGGGUUAGUAAUACAUGAACAAUCUACCUUUAGCUUUGGGAUAACAGCUGGAAACGGCUGCUAAUACCGGAUAAAGUGUUAUAUGGCAUCAUAUAACAUGAAAACUGGGGACUAUAUGGCCUAGUGGCAGAAGAGGAGUUCAUGGGAUAUCAGCUAGUUGGUGGGGUAAAAGCCUACCAAGGCGAAGACGUCUAGGCGGAUUGAGAGAUUGACCGCCAACACUGGGACUGAGACACUGCCCAGACUCCUACGGGAGGCUGCAGUCGAGAAUCUUUCGCAAUGGGCGAAAGCCUGACGAAGCGACGCCGUGUGAACGAAGAAGGCCUUCGGGUUGUAAAGUUCUUUCGCUAGGGAACAAGGGAUAGGUGCUAAUAUCAUCUAAACUUGAGUGUACCUGGUAAAGAAGCACCGGCUAACUCCGUGCCAGCAGCUGCGGUAAUACGGAGGGUGCAAGCAUUAAUCGGAAUUAUUGGGCGUAAAGGGCGCGUAGGCGUCUUGGCAAGUCACCUGUGAAAUUCCAAAGCUCAACUUUGGAGCUGCGGGUGAAACUGCUGAGAUGGAGUAUAGGCGGGGAAAACAGAAUUCCACGUGUAGCGGUGAAAUGCGUAGAUAUGUGGAGGAAUACCGGUGGCGAAGGCGGUUUUCUAGUCUAUUACUGACGCUGAUGCGCGAAAGCUAGGGGAGCAAACAGGAUUAGAUACCCUGGUAGUCCUAGCCGUAAACGAUGCAUACUUGAUGUAGUCAGACUCAACCCUGACUGUGUCGGAGCUAACGCGGUAAGUAUGCCGCCUGAGGAGUACGCUCGCAAGGGUGAAACUCAAAAGAAUUGACGGGGGCCCGCACAAGCAGUGGAGCAUGUGGUUUAAUUCGAUGCAACGCGAAGAACCUUACCCAGGCUUGACAUGCAGAUGCCGUAUACAGAGAUGUAUAUUUCCUUCGGGACGUCUGUGCAGGUGCUGCAUGGCUGUCGUCAUCUCGUGCCGUGAGGUGUUGGGUUAAGUCCCGCAACGAGCGCAACCCUUAUCGUUAGUUGCCAACACGUAAAGGUGGGAACUCUAACGAGACUGCCUAGGUUAACUAGGAGGAAGGUGAGGAUGACGUCAAGUCCGCAUGGCCCUUAUGUCUGGGGCUACACACGUGCUACAAUGGUCGAUACAGAAGGCAGCGAAAUCGAAAGGUGAAGCAAAUCCUAGAAAGUCGACCUCAGUUCGGAUUGUAGUCUGCAACUCGGCUACAUGAAGCUGGAAUUGCUAGUAAUGGCGUGUCAGCAACAACGCCGUGAAUACGUUCCCGGGCCUUGUACACACCGCCCGUCACAUCAUGGGAGUUGGUUUUGCCCGAAGUCACUGACUUAACCGCAAGGGAAGAGGUGCCUAAGGUAAGGCCGAUAACUGGGAUGAAGUCGUAACAAGGUA